RNAcentral lists this ribosomal RNA (1328 nucleotides) under metagenome. RNAcentral's name for it is "bacterial LSU rRNA". It matches the Rfam family "Bacterial large subunit ribosomal RNA", at positions 1577 to 2925 of the family's 2925-position model. The record is from RNAcentral.
CAAAAGUAGGGAAGCAUCCGAUUCCAGCUGCCGAGAAAAGCCGCUAUUGUAUACCAUGUGCCCGUACCGUAAACCGACACAGGUGGGUGAGGAGAGAAUCCUAAGGCCGGCGGGAGAAGCAUUGUUAAGGAACUCGGCAAAAUGACCCCGUAACUUCGGGAUAAGGGGUGCCAGAGAGAUCUGGCCGCAGAGAAUAGGCUCAAGCAACUGUUUAGCAAAAACACAGGUCUAUGCGAAACCGUAAGGUGAUGUAUAUGGGCUGACGCCUGCCCGGUGCUGGAAGGUUAAGAGGAGAGGUUAGAGCAAUCGAAGCUUUGAAUUGAAGCCCCAGUAAACGGCGGCCGUAACGAUAACGGUCCUAAGGUAGCGAAAUUCCUUGUCGGGUAAGUUCCGACCCGCACGAAAGGCGUAAUGAUUUGAGCGCUGUCUCGACAAUGCACCCGGUGAAAUUGAAAUACCAGUGAAGAUGCUGGUUACCUGCGCCAGGACGGAAAGACCCCAUGGAGCUUUACUCCAGCUUGAUACUGGGAUUCGGUAAUGCAUGCACAGGAUAGGUGGGAGGCUACGAGUACGGAACUCCGGUUUCGUAUGAGCCGCUGUUGGGAUACCACCCUUGCGUUACUGGGUUUCUAACCAUGGCCCGUGAUCCGGGUCGGGGACAAUGUCAGGUGGGGAGUUUGACUGGGGCGGUCGCCUCCGAAAGGGUAUCGGAGGCGCUCAAAGGUUCCCUCAGAAUGGUUGGAAACCAUUCGAAGAGUGCAAAGGCAGAAGGGAGCUUGACUGCGAGACCGACGGGUCGAGCAGGUAGGAAACUAGGACUUAGUGAUCCGGUGGUAUGAAAGUGGGAUUGCCAUCGCUCAACGGAUAAAAGCUACCCUGGGAUAACAGGCUUAUCACUCCCAAGAGUUCACAUCGACGGAGUGGUUUGGCACCUCGAUGUCGGCUCAUCGCAUCCUGGGGCUGAAGUAGGUCCCAAGGGUUGGGCUGUUCGCCCAUUAAAGCGGUACGCGAGCUGGGUUCAGAACGUCGUGAGACAGUUCGGUCCCUAUCCGGCGCAGGCGGAGGAUAUUUGAGAGGAGCUGUCCUUAGUACGAGAGGACCGGGAUGGACGGACCGCUGGUGUACCGGUUGAGCUGCUAAGCUCAUGGCCGGGUAGCCAAGUCUGGCAGGGAUAAACGCUGAAGGCAUCUAAGCGUGAAGCCCCCCUCAAGAUGAGAUAUCCCAUUCGAAAGAAGUAAGACCCCUUGAAGACGACGAGGUAGAUAGGGCAGAGGUGGAAGUGCAGUAAUGUAUGGAGCUGACUGUUACUAAUCGGUCGAGGGCUUACC